This 716-nucleotide ribosomal RNA is filed under the name Carassotrema koreanum. RNAcentral's name for it is "12S ribosomal RNA". The record is from RNAcentral. Lineage: Eukaryota; Metazoa; Platyhelminthes; Trematoda; Plagiorchiida; Haploporidae.
UAUUUAUUUAAUUCUGGUUAUGGGAGGUCAGGAGGUAGUACCACAUAGGAAGCUUCUUUUUUGGUUGGAAGGGGAUAUCCUUUCUGUGCUUAGUGGUUAGAUCUUGUUGUUAAAGAAAUUUAGAGCAGGCUACCCCUGAAAGUGGUUUAUUCACAGUGCCAGCAGCCGCGGUUAAUCUGUAGCUUUUACCUUCCACUUGGUUAAAAUGGUUUUCUAAGUAAAUAAGAAACAGAGAGUAGAAUGAUUCUUUCUUUUGUGAUAAGCUUAGAGGUACGAGAAGGAGCUUUUGGGAUAAGGAUUAGAGACCCUUGUACCUGCUUUGAGAUUUUAUAUCCUUGGUUAUCAACUAAAAGAAUUUGGCAGCUGGUCAAGUUCGUCCGGGGGAGUGUGUACCGUAAGAGAUAGUCCGCUUAUGAUUUUACCAACUUAAUUUUGUUAGUGUAUAUCCGGUUUAAUACCUUUAGUUAGUGCUUAUGGGUGUUAUAUAAUAUUUAAUCCAGGUCGAUGUGCUGCUUAUAUGUUGGUGGGUUUAUGCACUACUGUUACAAAACGUUGUUUCUGAAAGGAGGCAAAGUAUUUAGGACUCGGAAGUAGGCGUGAGGGAGACUGUCAUGUCGAAAGAGAUAAGACUGGGGUACAUACCGCCCGUCACCCAGGGUGUCAACUGUGGUAAGUCGUAACAUGGUAACAGUGGGGGAACCGAUUGUUAGUUGGCC